RNAcentral lists this unclassified non-coding RNA (216 nucleotides) under Hevea brasiliensis (rubber tree). The record is from RNAcentral. Lineage: Eukaryota; Viridiplantae; Streptophyta; Magnoliopsida; Malpighiales; Euphorbiaceae.
UACCAGCCCUGCUCACGAUAGAGCUGCGUUAAUGCGCAGAUCACUUCCAGCGUCUCGUCUUCGGUCGCUACCUUGGCGAGAAACUCGGUACCCUUGAUGUGAAGGCCGGCGGCACCGGCGAAAUGGAUCUCGUAUCCGGAAUCGACGCAAACCACCCCGACAUCCUUGCAGGUCGCUUCGGCGCAGUUGCGCGGGCAACCCGACACCGCAAGCUUC